This 493-nucleotide ribosomal RNA is filed under the name uncultured bacterium. RNAcentral describes it as "partial 16S ribosomal RNA". It matches the Rfam family "Bacterial small subunit ribosomal RNA", at positions 28 to 507 of the family's 1533-position model. The record is from RNAcentral.
GACGAACGCUGGCGGCGUGCCUAACACAUGCAAGUUGAGCGACGAACCAGGGCUUGCCCUGGGGCAAAGCAGCGAACGGGUGAGUAACACGUGGGUAACCUACCCCGAUAACCGGGACAACCCGAGGAAACUCGGGCUAAUACCGGAUGUGCUCACUGGACUUCGGUUCAGUGCGUAAAGGAAGCUUCGGCCUCCGUAUCGGGAGGGGCCCGCGGCCCAUUAGUUUGUUGGUGAGGUAACGGCCCACCAAGACCGCGAUGGGUAGCUGGUCUGAGAGGACGAUCAGCCACACUGGGACUGAGACACGGCCCAGACUCCUACGGGAGGCAGCAGUGGGGAAUCUUGCGCAAUGCGCGAAAGCGUGACGCAGCAACGCCGCGUGGGGGAAGAAGGCCUUCGGGUUGUAAACCCCUUUCAGGAGGGACGAAGGUUCGGCGGUGAAUAGCCGUCCGGACUGACGGUACCUCCACAAGAAGCCCCGGCUAACUACGUG